CAGUUACAUACGGAUCAUGCACUUCCAGAAGUAGAAUGCACUUCCAUGUCCUGACCAGGGGAGAUAAAAUGACACCACCAAAAUAAAUCCUCGCCUACAAAGGGAUAAACAGGAAUUUGGGACGUGGAACUACACAGUAAGAGAAGGCCCCAAGUCAUGAUGAAGGCAUCGUACUGGCUGCCAAUUCCCAGGGGGGGUGACAGGAUUACUGGCAAGUCCUUCCAGCAGAUGAUGUGGAAUGUGGGCGACGGAACUGAAAAGCAGCUUGAAUCCUGUGGGAGUCGUGGGCGUGAGACCAGGUGUGGCAUCUAUUCAAGGUAGAACAACAACCCAGGACCAAACCCAGGAAUAAAGAAAUAAUUCUGGGAUUUUUCUUUUCUGUUUUACUUUCUUCUUUUGUUUUGUUUUUGUGGAACUGGGGGAUGGAACUCAGGGACUGGCACAUGCCAGGAAAGUGCUUUACCACCGAGCUCCACCCUGAACCAAGAAAUUAUUUCAGUAUUGGACACCACAAGAGUAAAAGAUGUCCUACAAGCAGCUGGUCUGUAAGUUAGAGAUGCUGUAGGGAGUAGUGUAAAUGGAAAUAUUUAUAAGCACCCUGAAAGAACAAUUAUUUAGCAAAGCCCUGUGUGUUUUUCUCCUUCCCUUCAUAAUAAACAACACUUUUUACUGCUAUUGUUGCAAUUUAGAAAGUUGCAGGGGGCAGGGGGCUGUGUUCCAAAUCAUCUACUAUGUCCCAUGGAUACUGAGAACCCAGCACCACCAUCUACUGAGUGCUCAGUAGGCCUCGAGGUCAUUGUCACCAACUGCAGCCAAACCACUAUUAGCGCUCACCAUGUGGCUUGUGGCCAGGUAUUCCAUGUGCAUCACACCGGUCCAGCUGCACAAUGACCCAUGAAAGGGUGACUGCUAUUUUUCUGUUUUACAGAUAAUGAGGCCGAAGCACAGGCUUUAAUUCACUUGCCUGAGAUGGUGAAGUUAGAAAGUGGUAGAACUGGUGUUAAAAAGCUCGUGUCUAUAAUUCAAGUGCCUGCUCUGAAUCAUCACAUCUGCAACGUAAUUAUCAAUCCAACCCAGGGGUAGGUGCAUAUCCUUCAGUCUGCAUCUGACCUAAGACCAGGGGAAAGAUGAAAUGUUCUCAUCACGGCCAGCUCCAAUGCAACUUCUUUUCUUUUGUAUCCCCCUCUUUUGUUUUUGAAACUUACUCUGUG
RNAcentral lists this long non-coding RNA (1211 nucleotides) under Marmota monax (woodchuck). The record is from RNAcentral. Lineage: Eukaryota; Metazoa; Chordata; Mammalia; Rodentia; Sciuridae.